AUGGUCAUCGUGAUGGUGGCCACCGUGAUGGAGGCCAGCGGGGUGGUGGCCGCCUUGAUCCUGGUCACCAUGAUCAUGGCCAUUGUGAUGGUGGCCACCAUGAUGACGGCCAGAGGGGUGGUGGUCACCUCGGUCACGGUCAUCGUUAUGGUGGCCACCGUGAUGGAGGUCAGCGGCGUGGUGGCCAUCUUGAUCCCAAUCACCAUGAUUGCAGUCGUCAUGAUCCUGCUUCACCAUGAUCAUGGUCAGCGUGGUUGUGGCCACCAUGAUGGUCAGCGGGGUGGUGGCCACCUUGAUCCUGGUCACCUUGAUUGCAGUCAUCAUGAUCCAGCUCACCAUGAUCAUGGUCAGCGUGGUGGUGGCCACCGUGAUGGUGGUCAGUGGGGUGGUGGCCACCAUGAUCCUGGUCAUCAUGAUGGCCACCACGAUCAUCACCUUGAUCCCAGUCACCAUGAUUGCAGUCAUUGUGAUCCCGGUCACCAUGAUCAUGGUCAGCAUGAUGGUGGCCACCAUGAUUGGGGUCAUCACGAUUGUGGUCACCUUGAUCCCAGUCACCGUCACCAUGGUCAUCGUGAUGGUGGCCACCACGAUCAUGGAUCGAGUGGCCGGAGAGGCCGGAUCAUCGCCAUGGGGGUGGGGAUGUGGUGUGGGAGGGUUGGCUGGGGUGAUGUCAAGAGGUCUUCCAGGGGAGGAUUUGGCCAGGUGGAUCCCAAGAACUCUUACAGCAAAGGAUUUCUCCGGGUGGAUCCCAGGAGAUGUUCCAGGGAAGGGUUUCUCCGGGUGGAUCUCUGGAGGUUCUUCCAGGGAAGGAUUUCUCCAGGUGGAUCCCAGGAACUUUUUCAACAAAGGAUUGGUCUGGAUGGACACGGGAAGUUCUUCCAGGGAAGGAUUUGUCCUGGUGGAUCCCAGGAACUCUUCCAGGGAAGGAUUUCUCCAGGUGGAUCCCAAGAGAUCUUCCAGCAAAGGAUUGGUCUGGAUGGACACGGGAAGUUCUUCCAGCAAAGGAUUUCUCCAGGUGGAUCCCAGGAACUCCUCGGGGGCCUCGAUCCCAGAGUUGGUUCCGUGGCUCCAGAGGGGUUCGGACACCGGGGGGAACGUUGGGAUCUCCUGCUCCAGGUGGAUUUUCCUUGGAAUGAGGGGAGUGAGAUCCACCUGGACUGA
Molecule: long non-coding RNA, 1161 nt
Filed under: Serinus canaria (Common canary)
Lineage: Eukaryota; Metazoa; Chordata; Aves; Passeriformes; Fringillidae
Description: lncRNA (ENSSCAG00000014985.1)
Source: RNAcentral